This 70-nucleotide transfer RNA is filed under the name Siphonaria gigas (giant false limpet). Its description in RNAcentral is "tRNA-His". Lineage: Eukaryota; Metazoa; Mollusca; Gastropoda; Siphonariida; Siphonariidae. The record is from RNAcentral.
GAUGUGCUAGGUUAAAAUUAUAAACCGUGGGUUUGUGGUACCUAAAAUUUUCCUUUGUGAAAGCACACCU